AUUUUAUACUACAUAAUUGUAUAAUACUCAAAUGAUUUAGACAUUAUAAACAGUCAGCUUUGAAUGAAUUCAGUGUACCAGAAAAAUCCUCAUGUGAUUUUUAAAUAAGCAAUAUAAAAGAGAUUUUGUAUUUAUUCACUUUAAUUUCUUCACUUUUAUAUACUGUAGACCAGGCUUCAGUGAGAAGCAAAACAUCAAUAAAAUAAUUAUAAACCUAUCUUUUGGGAAAUUAAAAACUAAUCUGUAUCUCCCCAAAAAAAUGUAUUUUGUAAAAAAAAAAAAAAAAUGCCCUCAUGCUUGUAAAAAUGUAGCUUUUAUAAUGUUGAAGAGUUUUAGAAAUAAAAUUAUGACUCUUGGAAACAAAUACCUUAACUCAUACACAUUGGUCAGUUCCUUUUGUACCUGGUUAGUGAAAAGCUUGGUCUGUUACCUUCCUCCCAAGGGUCACAAGUGUGGCAGGUCCAAGACAGGAUUUUAAGCCUUCUCUGAGUGCUGGCGAGAGAUUUCAACAUUUAAGAGUAUGGUGCUUUUGCAGAGGGUCCAGGAAAUCUUAGGAAAGAAGGUAGAGUUACGGGUAAGGUGGAGUCAGGCAGACUCCUGUUUCCACCUAGAGUGCAGCAUGCAGGUUUGGUGCAUGAAAUAGAGAGACGAUUUGAGACCCACUACAUGGACUUUAUACACAGUUUAAAGAAAAAUAUUAAAAUCUGGUUUCAUGGCAUGCCCUAAGCUAGCAGUUUGGUUUGUUUUGGUUUGGGUUUGAGGAGUUAGAAGGGGUGCAGUAAAUUACAUGUAUCUGCACAGAUGUUGAAAAUCUUUCUAAACCCUUGUCAAAGAUUUGCUUGUCUUAACAUUAGCCUAAUUUAUGAUGACCAUUCACUAAUAAAUUGUAAACGCC
This 895-nucleotide long non-coding RNA is filed under the name Rattus norvegicus (Norway rat). RNAcentral's name for it is "long non-coding RNA NONRATT018461". The record is from RNAcentral. Lineage: Eukaryota; Metazoa; Chordata; Mammalia; Rodentia; Muridae.